Molecule: transfer RNA, 72 nt
Filed under: Anolis carolinensis (green anole)
Lineage: Eukaryota; Metazoa; Chordata; Lepidosauria; Squamata; Anolidae
Rfam family: tRNA
About the family: Transfer RNA (tRNA) molecules are approximately 80 nucleotides in length.
Source: Rfam by way of RNAcentral
GCUGGUAUGGUUCAGUGGUUUGAGUGCUGGACUACAACUCCAUGAGAUUAAGGUUUGAAUCCUCAACCAGCC